RNAcentral lists this ribosomal RNA (1345 nucleotides) under uncultured bacterium. RNAcentral describes it as "partial 16S ribosomal RNA". It matches the Rfam family "Bacterial small subunit ribosomal RNA", at positions 28 to 1381 of the family's 1533-position model. The record is from RNAcentral.
GACGAACGCUGGCGGCGUGCUUAACACAUGCAAGUCGAACGGAAAGGCCCUGCUUUUGUGGGGUGCUCGAGUGGCGAACGGGUGAGUAACACGUGAGUAACCUGCCCUUGACUUUGGGAUAACUUCAGGAAACUGGGGCUAAUACCGGAUAGGAGCUCCUGCUGCAUGGUGGGGGUUGGAAAGUUUCGGCGGUUGGGGAUGGACUCGCGGCUUAUCAGCUUGUUGGUGGGGUAGUGGCUUACCAAGGCUUUGACGGGUAGCCGGCCUGAGAGGGUGACCGGCCACAUUGGGACUGAGAUACGGCCCAGACUCCUACGGGAGGCAGCAGUGGGGAAUAUUGCACAAUGGGCGGAAGCCUGAUGCAGCAACGCCGCGUGCGGGAUGACGGCCUUCGGGUUGUAAACCGCUUUCGCCUGUGACGAAGCGUGAGUGACGGUAAUGGGUAAAGAAGCACCGGCUAACUACGUGCCAGCAGCCGCGGUGAUACGUAGGGUGCGAGCGUUGUCCGGAUUUAUUGGGCGUAAGGGCUCGUAGGUGGUUGAUCGCGUCGGAAGUGUAAUCUUGGGGCUUAACCCUGAGCGUGCUUUCGAUACGGGUUGACUUGAGGAAGGUAGGGGAGAAUGGAAUUCCUGGUGGAGCGGUGGAAUGCGCAGAUAUCAGGAGGAACACCAGUGGCGAAGGCGGUUCUCUGGGCCUUUCCUGACGCUGAGGAGCGAAAGCGUGGGGAGCGAACAGGCCUAGAUACCCUGGUAGUCCACGCUGUAAACGGUGGGUACUAGGUGUGGGGUCCAUUCCACGGGUUCCGUGCCGUAGCUAACGCUUUAAGUACCCCGCCUGGGGAGUACGGCCGCAAGGCUAAAACUCAAAGGAAUUGACGGGGCCCCGCACAAGCGGCGGAGCAUGCGGAUUAAUUCGAUGCAACGCGUAGAACCUUACCUGGGUUUGACAUGGAUCGGGAGUGCUCAGAGAUGGGUGUGCCUCUUUUGGGGUCGGUUCACAGGUGGUGCAUGGCUGUCGUCAGCUCGUGUCGUGAGAUGUUGGGUUAAGUCCCGCAACGAGCGCAACCCUUGUUCACUGUUGCCAGCACGUUAUGGUGGGGACUCAGUGGAGACCGCCGGGGUCAACUCGGAGGAAGGUGGGGAUGACGUCAAGUCAUCAUGCCCCUUAUGUCCAGGGCUUCACGCAUGCUACAAUGGCUGGUACAGAGAGUGGCGAGCCUGUGAGGGUGAGCGAAUCUCGGAAAGCCGGUCUCAGUUCGGAUUGGGGUCUGCAACUCGACCUCAUGAAGUCGGAGUCGCUAGUAAUCGCAGAUCAGCAACGCUGCGGUGAAUACGUUCCCGGGGCU